Molecule: ribosomal RNA, 495 nt
Filed under: uncultured bacterium
Lineage: Bacteria
Description: bacterial SSU rRNA
Rfam family: Bacterial small subunit ribosomal RNA
Source: RNAcentral
GCGAGAAAGGGGCUUCGGCCCUGAGUAAAGCGGCGGACGGGUGAGUAACACGUAGGUAAUCUUCCCUUGAGCGGGGGACAACGAGCCGAAAGGCUCGCUAAUACCGCAUACGUUUCUCGGGACUCUGGUUCCGGGAAGGAAAGCUAGGCCGCAAGGUCCGGCACUCGAGGAGGAGCCUGCGUCGCAUCAGCUAGUUGGUGGGGUAACGGCCUACCAAGGCGAAGACGCGUAGCUGGUCUGAGUGGAUGAUCAGCCACACUGGGACUGAGACACGGCCCAGACUCCUACGGGAGGCAGCAGUGGGGAAUAUUGGACAAUGGGCGCAAGCCUGAUCCAGCCACGCCGCGUGAGUGAUGAGGGCCUUCGGGUCGUAAAGCUCUGUGGGGAGGGACGAACCGCUGCUGGUUCAUAGCCAGCAGCAUGACGGUACCUCCUUAGCAAGCACCGGCUAACUUCGUGCCAGCAGCCGCGGUAAUACGAAGGGUGCAAACGUUG